RNAcentral lists this ribosomal RNA (497 nucleotides) under uncultured bacterium. RNAcentral describes it as "partial 16S ribosomal RNA". It matches the Rfam family "Bacterial small subunit ribosomal RNA", at positions 28 to 507 of the family's 1533-position model. The record is from RNAcentral.
GAUGAACGCUGGCGGCGUGCCUAAUACAUGCAAGUCGAGCGAACGGACGAGAAGCUUGCUUCUCUGAUGUUAGCGGCGGACGGGUGAGUAACACGUGGAUAACCUACCUAUAAGACUGGGAUAACUUCGGGAAACCGGAGCUAAUACCGGAUAAUAUUUUGAACCGCAUGGUUCAAAAGUGAAAGACGGUCUUGCUGUCACUUAUAGAUGGAUCCGCGCUGCAUUAGCUAGUUGGUAAGGUAACGGCUUACCAAGGCAACGAUGCAUAGCCGACCUGAGAGGGUGAUCGGCCACACUGGAACUGAGACACGGUCCAGACUCCUACGGGAGGCAGCAGUAGGGAAUCUUCCGCAAUGGGCGAAAGCCUGACGGUGCAACGCCGCGUGAGUGAUGAAGGUCUUCUGAUCGUAAAACUCUGUUAUUAGGGAAGAACAUAUGUGUAAGUAACUGUGCACAUCUUGACGGUACCUAAUCAGAAAGCCACGGCUAACUCCGUG